This 372-nucleotide ribosomal RNA is filed under the name uncultured organism. RNAcentral's name for it is "bacterial SSU rRNA". It matches the Rfam family "Bacterial small subunit ribosomal RNA", at positions 526 to 896 of the family's 1533-position model. The record is from RNAcentral.
CGAGGGGUGCAAGCGUUACUCGGAAUUACUGGGCGUAAAGCGUGCGUAGGCGGUUCGUUAAGUCCGUUGUGAAAGCCCUGGGCUCAACCUGGGAAUGGCAGUGGAUACUGGCGAGCUAGAGUGUGAUAGAGGAUGGUGGAAUUCCCGGUGUAGCGGUGAAAUGCGUAGAGAUCGGGAGGAACACCAGUGGCGAAGGCGGCCAUCUGGAUCAACACUGACGCUGAGGCACGAAAGCGUGGGGAGCAAACAGGAUUAGAUACCCUGGUAGUCCACGCCCUAAACGAUGCGAACUGGACGUUGGGAGCAACUUGGCUCUCAGUGUCGAAGCUAACGCGUUAAGUUCGCCGCCUGGGGAGUACGGUCGCAAGACUG